AUUUUUUCAAUCUUUAGUGUUAAAUUAUCCACCAGGUAAAAUGAAAAGUAGAAGAUCAUUUUAACUUUUUCUUUCAAAAAAAAAUCAUUUUAACUUCUGUUGUUGAAAUUGUGAAAGGCAGUUGCACCACAAGUCCACAACCAUUGGUUAGAGAUACCAUACUACAACAUAUUGAUGCCUUCAUGUAGCUACAUAUAAAACAAUAUCAUGUCAAAGAUGAUACAUCUUCAAAAAAAAAAAAAAACGAUUAUAAUGAAUGAGAAAUAUUUUUUUAAAUGUAAAUAGUAGAUUAAGAAAAACAUUAUUUACAAAAGUAAAAUGGGUGUAU
This 328-nucleotide small RNA is filed under the name Arabidopsis thaliana (thale cress). Its description in RNAcentral is "ATSL258680". Lineage: Eukaryota; Viridiplantae; Streptophyta; Magnoliopsida; Brassicales; Brassicaceae. The record is from RNAcentral.